Molecule: ribosomal RNA, 306 nt
Filed under: uncultured Planctomycetota bacterium
Lineage: Bacteria; Pseudomonadati; Planctomycetota
Description: bacterial SSU rRNA
Rfam family: Bacterial small subunit ribosomal RNA
Source: RNAcentral
AAUGAACGUUGGCGGCGUGGAUUAGGCAUGCAAGUCGAGCGAGAACCGUAGCAAUACGGGGACAGCGGCGAAAGGGAGAGUAAUGCGUGGGUACCUACCCUCGGAUCCGGGAUAGCUACGGGAAACUGUAGGUAAUACUGGAUAACGUCUCCGGACCAAAGGUGUGAUUCCGUCCGGGGAGGGGCCCACGUCCUAUUAGCUAGUUGGCGAGGUAACGGCUCACCAAGGCAAAGAUGGGUACGGGGUGUGAGAGCAUGCCCCCGCUCACUGGGACUGAGACACUGCCCAGACACCUACGGGAGGCUG